UUAGAGGAAGUAAAAGUCGUAACAAGGUUUCCGUAGGUGAACCUGCGGAAGGAUCAUUAUUGAAAUAAACUGACAGGUUGUUGCUGGUUCUCUAGGGAACAUGUGCACGCCUUGUCAUCUUUAUAUCUCCACCUGUGCACCUUUUGUAGACCUGGAUAUCUCUCUGAGUGCUUGCACUCAGGUUUGAGGAUUGAUUUUUGUCUCUCCUUACAUUUCCAGGCCUAUGUUUCUUCAUAUACCCUAAUGUAUGUUAUAGAAUGUAAUAAAAAGGCCUUUGUGCCUAUAAACCUAUACAACUUUCAGCAACGGAUCUCUUGGCUCUCGCAUCGAUGAAGAACGCAGCGAAAUGCGAUAAGUAAUGUGAAUUGCAGAAUUCAGUGAAUCAUCGAAUCUUUGAACGCACCUUGCGCUCCUUGGUAUUCCGAGGAGCAUGCCUGUUUGAGUGUCAUUAAUAUAAUCAACCUCUUCAGCUUUUGCUUGCCGAGUGUUGGAUGUGGGGGUAUUUUUGCUGGCCUCUCUGAGGUCAGCUCCCCUGAAAUGUAUUAGCGGAAUAAUUUGUGAACCGUUCAUUGGUGUGAUAACUAUCUACGCUAUUGACGUGAAGCAAUUCUGCUUCUAACAGUCCAUUGACUUGGACAAAUUUCAUUAAACAUGACCUCAAAUCAGGUAGGACUACCCGCUGAACUUAAGCAUAUC
Molecule: ribosomal RNA, 696 nt
Filed under: Thaxterogaster pseudotalus
Lineage: Eukaryota; Fungi; Basidiomycota; Agaricomycetes; Agaricales; Cortinariaceae
Description: eukaryotic LSU rRNA
Rfam family: 5.8S ribosomal RNA (bases 295-448)
Source: RNAcentral